GACGAACGCUGGCGGCGUGCUUAACACAUGCAAGUCGAACGGUGAAGCUCCAGCUUGCUGGAGUGGAUCAGUGGCGAACGGGUGAGUAACACGUGAGCAACCUGCCCCUGACUCUGGAAUAAGCGCUGGAAACGGCGUCUAAUACUGGAUACGAGAAGAGUCCGCAUGGGCACUUUCUGGAAAGUUUUUCGGUUGGGGAUGGGCUCGCGGCCUAUCAGCUUGUUGGUGAGGUAAUGGCUCACCAAGGCGACGACGGGUAGCCGGCCUGAGAGGGCGACCGGCCACACUGGGACUGAGACACGGCCCAGACUCCUACGGGAGGCAGCAGUGGGGAAUAUUGCACAAUGGGCGAAAGCCUGAUGCAGCGACGCCGCGUGAGGGAUGACGGCCUUCGGGUUGUAAACCUCUUUCAGCAGGGAAGAAGCGAAAGUGACGGUACCUGCAGAAGAAGCACCGGCUAACUACGUG
RNAcentral lists this ribosomal RNA (468 nucleotides) under uncultured bacterium. RNAcentral describes it as "partial 16S ribosomal RNA". It matches the Rfam family "Bacterial small subunit ribosomal RNA", at positions 28 to 507 of the family's 1533-position model. The record is from RNAcentral.